CUGGNUCAGUAAGUCGUAACAAGGUAACCGUAACUCUAGAGUUUGAUCCUGGCUCAGGAUUAACGCUGGCGGCAUGCCUAAUACAUGCAAGUCGAACGGAGUAGCAAUACUUAGUGGCGAACGGGUGAGUAACACGUAUCUAAUCUACCAUUUAGUGGGGAAUAACUGUUGGAAACGACAGCUAAUACCGCAUAAUAUUGCUGGAUAAUUUCCAGUAAUGAAAGGAGCUUUCAAGCUCCGCUGAUUGAUGAGGAUGCGGCGCAUUAGCUAGUUGGUAGGGUAAUGGCCUACCAAGGCAAUGAUGCGUAGCCGAUCUGAGAGGAUGAACGGCCACAUUGGGACUGAGACACGGCCCAAACUUCUACGGAAGGCAGCAGUAGGGAAUUUUUCACAAUGGGCGAAAGCCUGAUGGAGCAAUGCCGCGUGACUGAUGAAGGUCUUCGGAUUGUAAAGGUCUGUUGUAAGGGAAGAAAUGGUAAAACAGGAAAUGGUUUUAUCUAUGANGGUACCUUACCAGAAAGCC
This 523-nucleotide ribosomal RNA is filed under the name uncultured Spiroplasma sp. RNAcentral describes it as "bacterial SSU rRNA". It matches the Rfam family "Bacterial small subunit ribosomal RNA", at positions 1 to 492 of the family's 1533-position model. Lineage: Bacteria; Bacillati; Mycoplasmatota; Mollicutes; Entomoplasmatales; Spiroplasmataceae. The record is from RNAcentral.